AACGCUAGCUACAGGCUUAACACAUGCNAGUCGCGGGGCAGCAUGAAGGAUGCNUGCAUCCUUUGAUGGCGACCGGCGCACGGGUGAGUAACGCGUAUCCAACCUGCCUGUUACCACGGCACAGCCCGUCGAAAGGCGGAUUAAUGCCGUAUGUGGUCCUUUGCGGGCAUCUAAUUAGGACUAAAGGUUCAGCGGUAACGGAUGGGGAUGCGUCCGAUUAGCUAGACGGCGGGGUAACGGCCCACCGUGGCUACGAUCGGUAGGGGUUCUGAGAGGAAGGUCCCCCACACUGGAACUGAGACACGGUCCAGACUCCUACGGGAGGCAGCAGUGAGGAAUAUUGGUCAAUGGGCGUAAGCCUGAACCAGCCAAGUAGCGUGAGGGAAGACUGCCCUAUGGGUUGUAAACCUCUUCUGUGCGGGGAUAAAGUGUGGGACGUGUCCCAUAUUGCAGGUACCGCACGAAUAAGGACCGGCUAAUUCCGUGCCAGCAGCCGCGGUAAUACGGAAGGUCCGGGCGUUAUCCGGAUUUAUUGGGUUUAAAGGGAGCGCAGGCCGUCUUUUAAGCGUGCUGUGAAAUGCCGCGGCUCAACCGUGGCACUGCAGCGCGAACUGGAGGACUUGAGUACGCACGAGGUAGGCGGAAUUCGUGGUGUAGCGGUGAAAUGCUUAGAUAUCACGAAGAACUCCGAUUG
Molecule: ribosomal RNA, 694 nt
Filed under: uncultured bacterium
Lineage: Bacteria
Description: bacterial SSU rRNA
Rfam family: Bacterial small subunit ribosomal RNA
Source: RNAcentral